GAUUUUAACUGAAAAAGUUAUCAACAACAAAGUUGAAUAACUCAUCAUGAUCUAAAACUUUUAUUUUGAUCAUUUCUUCAUCCGAUAAAGUGAUGCUAACAUUGUUCACAAAAUUGACGUAUCUCUUAUUUGGUUUUGUAAACUAUAACAUAUAUGUAAAUUUUGUGAACAAUGUUACUAACACUUUAUCGGAUGAAGAAAUGAUAAAAAUAAAAGUUUUAGAUCUUGAUGAGUUAUACAAUUUUGUUGUUGAUGACUUUUUCAACUGAAAUC
This is a non-coding RNA of Oryza punctata, 273 nucleotides long. The record is from Rfam. NCBI's taxonomy places the organism in Eukaryota, Viridiplantae, Streptophyta, Magnoliopsida, Poales, Poaceae.